GUGCUCGCUUCAGCAGCACAUAUACUAAAACUGGAAUGAUACAGAGAUUAGCAUGGCCCCUGCGCAAGGAUGGCAUGCAAACGCGUGAAGCGUGCCAUAAAAAG
Myotis daubentonii (Daubenton's bat) is the source of this 104-nucleotide small nuclear RNA. The record is from RefSeq and is a predicted model, not a curated record. NCBI's taxonomy places the organism in Eukaryota, Metazoa, Chordata, Mammalia, Chiroptera, Vespertilionidae.